CCUGCCUGAUGCCACCUGCCCUUAGACCUCUUGGUUACAACAAUAAUUGUCCCUGCUUUGUUCAUGUUAGAAGGCACUUUUUUAAAAAAAAAGAUUUAUUUAUUUGAAAGGCAGAGUUUCACAGAGGCAGAGAGAGAGAGAGAGAGAGAGGGAGGGAGGUUUUCCAUCUGUGGGCUCACUCCCCAAAUGGCUGCAACAGCUGGAGCUGGGCCAGUCUAAAGCCAGGAGCCAGGAGCUUCUUUUGGGUCUCCUGCACAAUUUCAGAGGCUCAAGUACUUGGAUCAUAUUCUACUAUUUUCCCAGGCCAUAGCAGAGGGCUGGAUCAGAAGUGGAGCAGCCAGGACUGGAACGGGUGCCCUUAUGGGAUGCUGGCAUUGCAGGUGGGCUAUACUUGCUACGCCACAGUGCCGGCGCUGGAAGUCACUUCUGUUGGGCACCAAAAAAUAUGUUGUGCCCAGCUCGUUAGAUCCCUGCAGAGACCCCCAGAGAGUCGAUCACACCAAACUGCAAAAGCAAGGUUUAUUCUGGAGUACAAGCCGCGACAGGGACCCCAUCCAACCAACCAGCACAGCGGAGGAAGGAGUGAGGCCCUGGUCUUUGUUUGGGAGAGUUUUUAAAGGAAAAAAGGGCUACAUCAGCAGGAAAAAAGAGUUACAUACAGCAUGGAAGCUUUGGGCACAGGGAGUUACAGCGGGAGCUGUGGGCACAGGGAGUUACUUUGUUUAGCAAUCUCUACUGUGCUGUCCUUGGUCUACCGAGCUAGCUGUCCCUGGCCAUGGGCCCAGGAGGAUGGAGACCCAGGCCUGCUCCACUCGCUGCUGGGCCCUGGUGUUUGGAUCCGGUUGGCAGCAGCAGGGCCUCCGUGAGCAAGGGCGGCAGACCACAAAGACCACAUCUCGGGUGGAGGUAAGAGCUGUUCACGCACUGUGGACAGAGCCCCUGCUGUGUGCCGCGCCCUGCCCUGGGCUGCCGGCACAGCGCAGGGUGAGGCCUGAGAACCAGGAGAGCAACCCUGUUGUUCUGUGGAGCUGACGCUCCAGGGGACGCACAGUGGACGGGACAGCGCGACAGAAGAGCUCAGGGCUGCAGAGACAGAGUCGGGCUCAGGGGAUGGGAGUGCAGGGCUGGGGAUGCUGGGGGCAGAGAGGGGCAAGGGUGGGAGAGGAGACACGCCAGGAAACACGGGCCCUGUGGCCACCGUGAGCGGAGACACACCAGGACACGGGCCCUGUGGCCACCCUGAGGACUUUUACUCUGGGUGAGGUCGGAGCCAUGGCAGGUGCCGCUGAGCAGAGCAGGGGCAGGGGCAGGGGAUGGAGUGGGUAAGCAGGAGGGAGAGAUGGGGGUGCGGGAAGCUGUCCCUGUAGUGGCACAGGCAGGGAGGGCGUCCCUGAGGAGGUGGCAUUUGAGCUGAGCCCUUGGUUUGGCCACGUUGCUUGCUGCUGCCCAGGAAGCUUUAGCAUCUGCCCCCAUGCACAUGGAGGGCGCGCCUUGUCUCGGACAGACCCACCGCAGGUCUGAGCCACCUUGUGGCCUCCUGCUCCCUUGUCACCAUCAUAUCCCCACCAGCAGGGGGAAUCAAAUGCAAUCCACAGAGCCCCAACGGCCUCCUGGAUCAGGGUCUGUGGGGGUGGAUCCUGAUCUCCGCAGGGCAGGACCGGACAGCAGGGGGCGCCCUGCCCAGGGCCCUGACGUUAUAGGACGCGGCCCCUCCUGUACCUGCUCGCUCCGCCUCACUGGUCCUUCCUGGAGAAGCACCACGAAGCUCCUGACCCCAGGCCCCUGUCCCUCUGCCCGCCGCCCCGCCCUGAGUGGCCCUGCGCGGGGUGUGGGCCCCUCUUCUCGGGAACCGUGAGUCCCCAGCUCUCUUUUCUCAGCAGUCUUCUCUUGAUCUGUUGGCUUCCGUGAAUUCUCUAUGAAGACACAAAGCCUGACACCGGCUCUGAGGGGCAAGGCAGUGUGGAGGCUCCCACCGGUGAGAGAUGGGGGCGGGGGGAGAGGACCUGUGCACCUGUGUUCCAGCGCCCCGACAAGAUGAACGUUUACGACACGUGCUAGAGCUCCCGCCCCCUGCACGCGACCUGCAGGCUGCGCAGGAUGGGAGCAUCAACGAAGCAGGUGGGCAGCCCGCCCCCCGCCCCGGCCCUGGAGUCCUCGCUAUCAGUCUCUUCAUCGUGGGGUGCUUGGGUCCGGGCUCUUGUCUCGAAUGCAAGACGGAUUGCAGGGAUGGGACACGGGUAAAGGUCAGCGGAGGAGGGAGAUUUGUUUACACGCCAGGUUGGAGCAGCGCCGGCCGGCUCGGAGGAGAGAGCUGCGGGCGGCAGCAGGGGCGGGGCUGUCUCUGCUCUGGAGGUGUGCGUGCGGGGCGUGGCUGGAGAGGGCUCCGUAGCAGGUGCUGCCGACCCUGUAGAGGCCGGCGUGUUGGAGCCACUCGUGCGGAACCUCCCCAGCCGCAGCCCUCUGCUCUCCCAGUCCAUCUCCUCGGGUGGAAUGGUCGCCGUCUUGGUGUCCCCUGCAGUGAGUGACUUGUCUCAGUUAGGCAUCCCCAGUGCAGGGGCCAUUGUCAGCUGACCCUAAGCCUGUUGAAAGGCCCCGUGUUAGUUCCCUGUCUAUUCCAGUGGGUCAGUUUCAGCAGCCUUUAAGACCUCACGCAGGGGUUUGGUUAUCAGCCUGAAUCUCGGCUGUCCCUUUGUAGGUGGUAGCCCAAUACACGGUGUGGCUUCCCAUGGGGAGAUCCCGGUUUUGGUUGGGGAAACGAUAUCGCCAUUCCCCUAAAAGCGUUAAGAUCUGAAUGGUGUUUUCAACUGAGUCCUCCUUGAGGUGACUGUAGGUGAGGCCAUGUCUAUCUACUGUUAAUCCUUCCUGCUGGGUGCUGUGUCGGUACCCAUUAGUAUGCUAAUAACAGAUUUCAGUGUAAGGAUGGCUGCCCUGAGAAAGCGCCCCUAGAGGGUCGCAGACCUGCCAGCACCCGCAGAGGCUGGUGGGAGACGACGGCAUCUUCCAUCUGGCAAGGCAGAGGCCAGGUGACCUGCUGGGAGAGGGGCUUGCCAUCAGGCCCCGUGAUGACACGACUCUGAGGACAGGGGCCCCAGCAGAGGAACUGGCACCCGCGUCAAUUAGAAAAUCGAUUUUCUUACCUGCCACUUCCGGGAGCGGGGUGGUCCCGAGGGCUGCGGGAGCUGCCUGAGUUCCCAGGCCCCAUCAGUCCUUGCAUUAGGACACGAGGCAACCGGGACUCCUCCUGUCCCCCAGGAACUGCGUGUGAGCAGGUUUCCAGCGCCCUCUUGUUUCCAGUGGGGCCAGGGGCCAGGUGGGCUUCUCGGGUGGGGACAGUCCUUGCACCAGUGUCCCGGCCUCCCACACCCAGAACAUUCUCCCUUGGGCUUCUCUGCCCGGUUCCAGUGGCUGCUGCCGUAUGGACAUUGGAGCCCUCUGCACUGCAGCUUUGCCUCUAGUCCUGGUCACCCGCAUGCUGCAUCUAGCAGCUGUUCCUGGGGGUUUGGGACCCCACAGCCCAUCUCUGGAGUUCCCUCCGGAUGUCCCUGGCUGGCUGAGGUAGGCAGUAGGACAUGUGCUAGGGGCUGUGUGAGUGUAUCUGUCGAAUCUCUUUAAGGCCUCUCCCAGCCAUCCCUGGCUGAAGGUGGAUUCUCGUCCCUAUGCUGUGUUACCUCCCUGACUGUCACCCAGGGAACUCAGCAGCACAGCACAGCCGAGCGCCCCCUAGGGGCCGUGGCCUUGCCACCUCUCAGACUCCCGACACACGAGCUAGUCCACAGGACCACCUUGUCCUUCGUGCUGUGGGCCUCAGGGCAGGAUGAGCACAUGUUAGCAGGAGCAAAUGUCCCACGGGCCCUUCUGAAGACAGUACCCAGGUCACGAGAGUGUUGGGAGGUGGCACACAGAGCCCGCAUCUCUGCCCUGCGUAUGGCUCUGAGCCGUAUCCCUUGGGGACCACUGUGACUCCUCUGUUGCUAUUGGCGGUUCCCGUGAUAAUUCUCUGAAGCCACUUUUCCAUUUAUUUUUUUGAAUGAAUUCCAAGUACUCAUUGAGACCUGCUCAGACUGGAGUGAGACAGCCCCUGCUCUCUGCCCGGAGGAUGAAAAACCUCCGUGAUCCGUCUUUGUGGAUCCAUUUGACUGUAAGAUUCGGAAGAAAGGGCCAUUCACUAAGAGCCAUCUCCCCUCCCCCAGAGACCCAGAAGAGGAGAUAGAGAGGAGUGGGGGAGGCGUGGGCAGCCCAGGAAACACUGUCCCCUGCUGGCGGCUUCUCCAGCUGGAGGCAGAGAGGCCCUGUCCUCCUCUCAGCUUGCCCAGUGCCCUCAAAGGCCAGGGUGGAGCUGGUGCCUGUUCACCUGAACGCCUUGUAGAUGAGACCCGGCUGUUACACCCACUCUGUGGUCUGCUGCAUAAAGGCCUCUGGCUUCUGGGGCACACAGCGCGUGGACUUGGUACCUGGCUCCCACCUGCAGCUGUUGGCGUCCACAGCCAGCUGAGCCCCCAUACCGUGGCACUUGGGGUCUCUUGUUCUCCACUGGGAAUGUGCGGGGCAGUGGGUAUGGACUGUCUUAGCUGCCUUGAACUUUGCCUUAUUAGACACUAGAGUCUGCCUCCUGGGCGGGGGGGUGGGGGUGAGGGGGGUGGGUGGAUCUCAGAGCCUCUUCCCGAUGAGCACCGGAUACAUCGUAGACUUGACACGCCCCUCGUCCACCCUCUCUCUGAGAACCACCUUUCUUCUCUUUUUCUACGAGGUCGAUGCUGUUAGAUCCCCCAUAGACAUGAGAUCAGGGAGCACUUGUCCCUCUGUGUUGACGGAUGCACCUAUGUACGACCCAUUCCACAGUGCGUACACGUACCCAGACAUCUCCCUGGACCCCAUACAUGCACGCAGCUAUGAUUUUUAUUCAUGAGGAAUAUUUGCAAAUGUGCAAAGAAAAUAAGCUCGAGGUGGGUGGCAGUAUACAGUUAAGAUUUUUGUUUUUGAGAGCGUUUGCAAAUGUGAAAAGCCAUGGUUCUUGCUGUUUCCCAUAGGGGCCCUCUUCUGGCCAUGGUUCCUCUGUAUCCCAUAGGGACCCCCCCCCCCCGGGCCAUGGCUCUUAUGUAUCCCAUAGGGGCCCUCUCCUGGUCAUGGUUCUUCUGUAUUCCACAUUGACUCUCUGACCAUGGUUCUUGCUAUAUCCCAUAGGGACCCCCUCUGACCAUGGUUCUUGUUGUAUCCCAUAGGGACCCCCUCUGGCCAUAGUUUUUCUGUAUCCCAUAGGGGCCCUUUCCUGGCCAUGGUUCUUGCUGUAUCCCAUUAGGGACCCCCCCUGCCACCCCGGCCCUUGCUGUAUCCUAGAGACCCCUUGUCGGCCCUGGCCCUUGCUAGAAGGAGCGGCCGAAGUCCUAGCCAUCUGGCUGCCCGGCCUGGGUGUAAUUGUGCGCAUGUGCUCUACGGGAGCCUUUGCUUUCCUCUGUGUCGUGAGCACUGCUCCUGGUGCGGAGGACUGAGGGGGCGGCUACAGGGCCUGGCUGGGCUGACCGCGGAGUAGGGGUCCAUGUCUGCAGGCUGAGCAGGUGGCUGUCAGGCACGGGGCACCUCUGCCUGUGCUCUGCCCUGACUCCUGCUCCUCCCCAGGCAGCAGGGCCUGGGAGGGAAACGGGCAGGUGGGAAGACGUAGCGCCACUUGCACUUUGCAACUCAGGGGCAAGGAGGAGCUCCGUGGAGCUUUGGGGCCGCCAGGGAUGGGACUUGCCUGAAGCCUGGGCUUUGCCCUGGUGCUGGGGCCCUUCUGUCGGGAUAUCUCGCGACACAGCACAAGGUGUGUGGCCGUGGCACUGUCGUAUUUAUGCUCUGACAAGGACUCUUGUAUCUGCUCUGGGCUUAUAGCCUAGGCUGAUUCGGACUUGCAUGAUUUGAGGGUCCUGGUGACAAGCCAGCGGCUCAGCACGGGGUCUUGGAGUUUCUUCCAGGACCACGCUGAGCUAUCAGCGGCCCACAGUGCGGUCUAGUUCAGGCCUCUUUCCGGGGUUGAAUGUCAGUAAAGUCUUCCAAAGCUUUUCCAGCCCUAGGCUGACAGCACAGGGAAGCUGGUAUUUUCCUGUGAGUGUGCACUCCAGCUGCUGCACAGGGCCUCUCCAUCAAGUGGCAAGAUCCCCGUAAACACGGCAGCCAGAGUCACCCCCAUACCCCACAAGUCUGCAUUAAAGGGGUUGUAUUGUUGGCCCUAGAGCAUUUCUGGAGCGCAAUACUGGGAGUUCCACAAGAUGUGCUGAGAUCUUGCCCGUCGGAGCCCCUGCAUCCCAGGCUGAAGUCAGUUUAACACUGAGG
Molecule: non-coding RNA, 6306 nt
Organism: Oryctolagus cuniculus (rabbit)
Lineage: Eukaryota; Metazoa; Chordata; Mammalia; Lagomorpha; Leporidae
Source: RefSeq, a predicted model, not a curated record